Molecule: transfer RNA, 782 nt
Filed under: uncultured Synechococcus sp.
Lineage: Bacteria; Bacillati; Cyanobacteriota; Cyanophyceae; Synechococcales; Synechococcaceae
Description: partial contains 16S ribosomal RNA, 16S-23S ribosomal RNA intergenic spacer, and 23S ribosomal RNA
Rfam family: tRNA (bases 221-293)
Source: RNAcentral
UGGAUCACCUCCUAACAGGGAGACAACAAAAUGUUUAAUAUUAUUUUGUCACCUUAGGUCGAUCGGUAUCUCACGUUCUUAAUUUGUUAAGAAUUUCAUUUCCUAAGUUUUUCUAGGUCACACCCAUUAUUUUUCCUGGGCCAUUAGCUCAGGUGGUUAGAGCGCACCCCUGAUAAGGGUGAGGUCCCUGGUUCAAGUCCAGGAUGGCCCAUUCGGUGUUGGGGGUUUAGCUCAGUUGGUAGAGCGCCUGCUUUGCAAGCAGGAUGUCAGGAGUUCGAGUCUCCUAACCUCCACUGACCGAACUUGAUUCCCAUCUCCAAUUUUUUGGAGUUGAGCUCGAUUGGCGUGUGAUUUAGAUGUGUCCGCUGGAUGACCCCAGCUUCCUGUCAUUCCAAGUUUUAGGUUGAAGCCUUGAAUUUGGUUGAUAAGAUGCUGGGCUCGGAUCAAAUGAUCAAGCAAUUGAUGGUUUGAUUUGAAGUUCUAGCAGAACCUUGACAACUGCAUAGGUGAGUCUGGAAAAAACAAAGCAUCUUACAGAUGCAUUGUUUUGAAUCCGAUCUUCUGAAAGGGAGAUUGGAUCUAGAACAAUGAAAAUUCUUUUGAGCAAGAGCCGAGACUCUUGAGCGUUCUUUGAUUGGUGUCGAGCCAAUCAGAGUUUGAUCUUGUUUUUAGCGAUAAAAACUUGAAAAUCUGCUUUCAACGGCGGUAAGCGUUCAGGAGGUUAAUUGGUCAAGCUACAAAGGGCUCACGGCGGAUACCUUGGCACACAGAGGCGAUGAAGG